CCCGGCGACCGGCGGCACGGGUGAGUAACACGUAUGAAACCUGCCCGUAGCAGGGGGAUAAGCGGAAGAAAUUCCGUCUAAUACCGCGUAACAACCCAUGGAGGCAUCUCUGUGGGUUUAAAGGAAGCGAUUCCGGCUACGGAUGGUCAUGCGUCGCAUUAGCUUGUUGGCGGGGUAACGGCCCACCAAGGCGACGAUGCGUAGGGGUUCUGAGAGGAAGGUCCCCACACUGGUACUGAGACACGGACCAGACUCCUACGGGAGGCAGCAG
Molecule: ribosomal RNA, 271 nt
Filed under: uncultured bacterium
Lineage: Bacteria
Description: partial 16S ribosomal RNA
Rfam family: Bacterial small subunit ribosomal RNA
Source: RNAcentral